This 387-nucleotide ribosomal RNA is filed under the name uncultured bacterium. RNAcentral's name for it is "bacterial SSU rRNA". It matches the Rfam family "Bacterial small subunit ribosomal RNA", at positions 527 to 916 of the family's 1533-position model. The record is from RNAcentral.
GGAGGAUCCGAGCGUUAUCCGGAUUUAUUGGGUUUUAAGGGGGCGUAGGCGGACGCUUAAGUCAGUUGUGAAAGUUUGCGGCUCAACCGUAAAAUUGCAGUUGAUACUGGGUGUCUUGAGUACAGUAGAGGCAGGCGGAAUUCGUGGUGUAGCGGUGAAAUGCUUAGAUAUCACGAAGAACUCCGAUUGCGAAGGCAGCCUGCUAAGCUGCAACUGACAUUGAGGCUCGAAAGUGUGGGUAUCAAACAGGAUUAGAUACCCUGGUAGUCCACACGGUAAACGAUGAAUACUCGCUGUUUGCGAUAUACUGCAAGCGGCCAAGCGAAAGCGUUAAGUAUUCCACCUGGGGAGUACGCCGGCAACGGUGAAACUCAAAGGAAUUGACGG